GAGACCCCAGAGCUGGACACAGCACUUCAGAUUGGCGCUUGGAAAAAUCAUUAAGCAGCGGUGACCAGAGGGAAUCAUGCAGCUCAUCAUAUCUUUGUCAUCACAGCUAUUGAUCAGAGCCACAAUGAAAAUGUGCCAACAAUUCUAAACAACACCAGGCGAGAGCCGAUGAAACCAAAGGUCGUUAAGAGCCCCAAUGCUUGAUUCGGGUUUAGAAGGCACAGAUGACUGGGAGCAGUCCCUGAGACACCAUUUGGUUGUAACUUAGAAACAGUGAGGGAUUUCUGUAAUAUAUCUGUGAUUGCUUUGUUGAGCGUAGGGAUCGGCAUGAGAUUCUGCUCAGUCUAUUAUACAGACAGUGUAACCAGAAUAAAUCAAAAUUGUUUAAAAAAAAAUCUAAUAAAGUACUUUUUCAGCUGUGACUUGUAAGUGUCACCAUGAUGGAUGGCACCACAAUCCAUUAUGCAAAGACAAGGCUCUUAACAUGAAAUUUUAGAAUUCAAUUUUACGAUUUACAGAGAGGGCCCCCCUUAUAUUUACGGCACAGCAGUCUGUUUUGAUUCAAUCUCUGCGUAAUUGAAACCAGGGCCAGGGAUCAUGGUUAGUCCUCCGGCCGCUUUUUAAAAGGGGAGGAGAAAUAACCACCUAUAACAUUAAUAAUGGAGCUAAAGAGAUUGCUUUGCUUGUUAAAUCUCACUCACUUUGUCUCCUCGCCCUGGUGGCACUGACAAAUGUGGGGAAUACGGACACGGUGCCUCCAUGCCAGGGAUGUGUUUGAUGGGAUAAAAUCUGGCUGCCAUGUGGGCAGCAGCAUCCUCCAUCCCAUAGUGAGCCUGGCUUGGGGCAUUUUUGCUCCUGUUGUUACAGUCCUCCAGAGGAUAGAAGUUUUUCAGCACCUCUUUUUAUUAUAAUCACUCAUUUUAUUAUGAUCACUAAAUAGUCCCCUGUUACACCAAAGAAUUUUCAUGAGUUUU
This is a long non-coding RNA of Lepidothrix coronata (blue-crowned manakin), 974 nucleotides long. RefSeq lists it as uncharacterized. NCBI's taxonomy places the organism in Eukaryota, Metazoa, Chordata, Aves, Passeriformes, Pipridae. The transcript has 2 exons. The record is from RefSeq and is a predicted model, not a curated record.